AGUGUAAUUGCUUUUUUCCGAACUGAAAGUACCCUCCAGAAAAGGAGGAGAAGCGGAGAUCUAGAAGAAUCUUGUAAGGUUAUUUUUGUAAAUUCGAUUUAGGUAGAAUCAUUUAGGGGUAUAGGAGUCAAGGGGCAAAUGUGUACUUUUGCGGAAAUUGACAAAUUCUUAGAGGAUAAUGCGAGGCAAUAAUGGAGAUAUUAGGUGGAGGCAAUUGUUUUAAUUAAGUGAUGUUCCCUUUGAAAGUGAUAUAGUCCACUGAUGUGUUUAAAAGACAAAAUUGGUGUUUGGCCCACCACACCUCUCUACAGAUACGUACUGUGCAGGCCGUUUAGGCUUAUAUAGGUAGCCUAUAAUUGAACGGGUAGUAUCACUUUUAGACGAAACUAUAUAUAUUUGAAAUGUAUAAAAUUAAUAUAUUUUUAUAUAUAAUAUACAAAAUAUAUAUAUAUAUAUAUAUAAAUAUAAAUGUUUAAAUUUGAUCUAGCUCAAACGAACUAAAAAUUCUCUUUUUCGGUUAUUAUUUUUACCACGGUUAUAUUUUGCAUUCCAUAUUGGUACAGUGAUCAAGUUUACUUUUAUUACUGCCUAAUCCUUCUUAUGACUCGUCCCAUGUUGCCAUUAAGGUCAAGACAUCAACUUUAGAAAUCUACGACUCUACUACCCUAUCGUUUCAGAGAUGAGCAGCAUGUUCAUUCCUCUGUAGCUUCGCGGAGAAUUUUUUGGGCGGAAAUCUUAUGAUGUAGUUAUUCUUUUAUAAUUAACUUGGGUCUAAAAAAAUUUGCAUUAGAAAAUUUGCAUGGUCUAUGUAACAACCGGGUACGUGUCGAAAUAAUGAGACUAAUAAUUUGAUGCAUGAUGAUGUUCAGGUGCAGGAGGAAGAGAAGCAUAUUGGUCCCGUAGGCGAUCAUUUGCAUACGAGAAUGCCAGUGGGGUUGGACCCAGAAGCCCUCGUCCUCCUUACGACCUGUGAGAUAUAGAUCGGGUUUUCUUCUUUGUUACCCCUCUUGAGGCGGCUGAAUGGAGUCGACAUCCUUGACAUUUUCCUGGUUGAGAAUGUUCUGUAUGGUCCUGUGACAGUGUGUGUAGUGUGCUUAAUUUUGUAAAUAGUGUUAGUGCUUCUUGAUCUUGCGGAUGCUGUGACGAAGGUUUGGCACAAGCUGUAAGCAACGAAGUUCGUCAUGUAUUCUGCUAUGUAUCAAAAGCUUACCUUGUGAUGUUAUCCUGUUUACUGUCUUGUCUUAGAAAUGUUAUUCAUAGGCUUGUGGUAUUGAUAGUUUCUUUGGUGUCCUGUAUAUUGUUUACUUUCAAAAUUAGAUAACAAUUAAAUUUAUGAGUGAUUUUAAGAAUAAAUCAUUUAAUCUGACACAAG
RNAcentral lists this long non-coding RNA (1372 nucleotides) under Nicotiana benthamiana. RNAcentral's name for it is "long non-coding RNA (NBEN_LNC041317)". Lineage: Eukaryota; Viridiplantae; Streptophyta; Magnoliopsida; Solanales; Solanaceae. The record is from RNAcentral.